This 253-nucleotide ribosomal RNA is filed under the name Albula glossodonta (roundjaw bonefish). Its description in RNAcentral is "partial small subunit ribosomal RNA". It matches the Rfam family "Bacterial small subunit ribosomal RNA", at positions 528 to 891 of the family's 1533-position model. RNAcentral also lists the same sequence under 1 other name. The record is from RNAcentral. Lineage: Eukaryota; Metazoa; Chordata; Actinopteri; Albuliformes; Albulidae.
AGGGGUUCAAGUUGAUGUUUGUCGGCGUAAAGAGUGAUUACAGGAGUAUAUAUAACUAAAGCCGAAGGCCCUCUGGGCUGUUUUACGCAUCUGGGGGUUGUUAAGCUCUUUAACGAAGGUAGCUUUAAAAAAGAUUAUAUCCUCGAGUUCACGAUAGCUAAGGCACAAACUGGGAUUAGAUACCCCACUAUGCUUAGCCUUAAACUUUGAUAAUAUGGUACAGAUAUUAUCCGCCAGGGGACUACAAGCGCUA